Alkaliphilus metalliredigens QYMF is the source of this 72-nucleotide transfer RNA. It matches the Rfam family "tRNA". From Rfam's summary of the family: Transfer RNA (tRNA) molecules are approximately 80 nucleotides in length. NCBI's taxonomy places the organism in Bacteria, Bacillati, Bacillota, Clostridia, Peptostreptococcales, Natronincolaceae. The record is from Rfam.
GCGGAAGUGGCUCAGUGGUAGAGCAUCGCCUUGCCAAGGCGAGGGUCGCGAGUUCAAAUCUCGUCUUCCGCU